Molecule: long non-coding RNA, 800 nt
Filed under: Olea europaea subsp. europaea
Lineage: Eukaryota; Viridiplantae; Streptophyta; Magnoliopsida; Lamiales; Oleaceae
Source: RNAcentral
GGAAAACAACUAAUUUCUCACAUGUUGAAGCUACAAACCUUGGACACAAAGCACUGAAACCAAGCCAUCUCUUACUGAGGGCGCUAUUGCAGGACGUGACACCAUUUUAUACCACAUUAUUUUUAAACUUUUAAUAUAUGAACGUUGUACUUUCUCGAUAAAACAAUAUUGGAUAGGAAAACAACUAAUUUCUCACAUGUUCAAGGUACAAACAUUGGACACAAAGCACAGAAACCAAGCCAUCUCUCACUGAGGGCGAUAUUGCACUCAUGACUUGUACUACCCGCAGUCCCACAUUAACUCUCAAAAUGGACAUAUUCAAUAGCAUUCACCGACUAUUGAAGAUCAAUAGAUUUGCUGAAAACAACACAAGAUACUAGAAUACUUUCAGUUUUGUGCCAUCCUUGUUUUCACAUUUUCCUGCAUGAUCAUCGUUGUUUCAACUCUAAAUCAUCCCCUGCCCCAAUAUCUUCACCAAAAGCUACUUUACAAACGCAAAUAGGAGAAAAACAAGUGAUAUAUAUGAUUUAUCAGUGUACCAUUCGCCCCUAGCUUUGUUCGAUCCUUUGUAUCACACUUCUAGAUUAUUUGCAUCCAUAUUGGAGCUAAAUUUUCUACCUAAUAAUUUCCAUUACUGCCCAUUUAAUUCGUACCUUCUCUUAAGAACGUUCUCUCUAAUCAUUUUUCCUCUUUUUUUAGUCUAUUAAUAUCUUUAGUUUUCAAUACAAAUCUAGCUAUGUGAUUGACAACUCAGUAGCCAAAGGCAUCAAAGCUUCGUCCCCAGUGGCAUGUUGUGUGUG